Molecule: non-coding RNA, 72 nt
Organism: Limanda limanda (common dab)
Lineage: Eukaryota; Metazoa; Chordata; Actinopteri; Pleuronectiformes; Pleuronectidae
Source: the annotation of a RefSeq genome assembly
GAACUUGUGGCGCAAUGUUAGCGCGUCUGACUCCAGAUCAGAAGGCCACGUGUUCAAAUCACGUCAAGGUCA